RNAcentral lists this transfer RNA (50 nucleotides) under Ophiocaryon klugii. RNAcentral's name for it is "partial tRNA-Leu". The record is from RNAcentral. Lineage: Eukaryota; Viridiplantae; Streptophyta; Magnoliopsida; Proteales; Sabiaceae.
AAAAUCCCUCGACUUUAAAAAUCGUGAGGGUUCAAGUCCCUCUAUCCCCA